ACACCUGUUCCCAUGCCGAACACAGAAGUUAAGCUCCUUAGCGCCGAUGGUAGUCGGACUAACGUUCCGCUAGAGUAGGACGUUGCCAGGC
This 91-nucleotide ribosomal RNA is filed under the name Staphylococcus warneri. The record is from RNAcentral. Lineage: Bacteria; Bacillati; Bacillota; Bacilli; Caryophanales; Staphylococcaceae. RNAcentral also lists the same sequence under 1 other name.